Oryzias latipes (Japanese medaka) is the source of this 1571-nucleotide non-coding RNA. NCBI's taxonomy places the organism in Eukaryota, Metazoa, Chordata, Actinopteri, Beloniformes, Adrianichthyidae. The record is from RefSeq and is a predicted model, not a curated record.
UGGACCACUUAUGAGGGGGAGGGCAGAGGGAAACCAGUUAUUCUUUUAAAGAACAGAAGCUGAGGGAGCACCUGACGCACAUGGUCAGGAUCAAGGGCUGCGCCACGUGCCACUAACUGCAGCCAAAGCUCUUUUCUGAAGGGGUGGUGAUGGUGGUGCACCGACGGGUGUGCGAGUGUGUGUGUCUGUGUGUUGCUGGUUAAUCUCUUUACAGAGAGGGUGUGCACUCAAAGCUGCUUUUGUUUUGGAAGGCUACUUUCUCGAGGUCGUCCAAUCCCUUUGCGCCCACUCCUCCCCUCAUCAUCUCCUGCUUUUUAUCUCUGGACAGGCCGUCUGUAUGAAACGCUGCAGAUUAUUUCUUUUAUGAGCUAAUCAGCCGGUUGGGUGAGGCAGAGAAAGUGUUUGUAUGCGUGCAUGGCUGUGUUUAGGUGUAGGGCUUUGCCAGCAUGAGCGUGUGAGAAACAUUGAAGAGCUUUCAUGUUGUAACAUAAACUGAAUUGAACAGGAACGUGUCGGGACAAGAGGGAGGCUUUGAUUUGCUCGAGGAACACAGAUGUGAUUCUGUACUCUGUAAAUGUUUCAGCUGAGGUAAAAAAAAAUAGUUUUUUUCCAUAUUCAUGACUCAGAUGAAAAAAAAAGACUAUGCUGCAGCAAGUUAUCAUCAGUAAAAUAAUUUCAGGAGGAAAUUCUGUAGAUUAUUUGCCAUAUUUUCCACUCUAUGAGGCGCACUUAAAAGCCUUAAUUAAAAAAAAAACAGCAACAGUGUGUCUUGUAUAUGGAUUAUUAUUGGUUGUGCUUGAUGUUGAAGUGAUUUUGAGAGCUACACAUCACCCUGUCAAAAUAUCAGUCUGUUUUUUACAUUUCGCAAACAAUGUUGGGAGUUACAGGUAUUGUGAAUACGCUAACAUUUAGCUAACAUUUAGCUAACAUUUCUAACCUAUAGCUUGUUACGAAAAAGUUUUAUAGAGUUACUGUGAACACAGUUAAUAAUGUCUGACUGACUGACUGACAGACUCUUUCUCACUCUUUUGUGUCGAUUUAUGCACCUCAAAUAUGACGUAGGUUCUAAAAUAGACAAUUCAUUGAUGGUGCGCUUUAUUAUCCGGUGCGCCCUUAGGUGAAUAAAAUAGGUUGUACUUUUUGCUACAAUCUUUACAUUUCUUCAGUCCUGUCACAGUUCAUGUUCAAAAACACUUGUCAUGGUGCCUCUGGCAGCUCUUCUCCCCCUCCCCUCUCUGCUCUGAUCCUGAUCAUCACCAGCUGUGGACCCUCAGCUUAUCAACCUCCAGCCCUUCUUAAGGAGAUCCAGUGCCAGCAUUCAUCGCCAGUUCUUUGCUCCUCUACGGAUUUAUCUUCCACGAGUGUCCACCUGGUUUCCAUUGUCAGAGCUACUCCACGGCUUCACGGUGACCGUACAUCUCGCCAAGUCCUCCAAGCAAGCUCUCUGCUGAAACCCUCCAGCCACGCCACAGCAGAGCAUUUUGAUCCACAUCGUACCACCCUUCCACAGGAUUCAAUCUCUACAGUCAUCAUCGGAUCCACGUCCAGGAAAAUAAAUCUCUUUGAACUGA